Molecule: ribosomal RNA, 446 nt
Filed under: uncultured bacterium
Lineage: Bacteria
Description: bacterial SSU rRNA
Rfam family: Bacterial small subunit ribosomal RNA
Source: RNAcentral
UUCCAGACUCCUACGGGAGGCAGCAGUGGGGGAUAUUGCACAAUGGGGGGAACCCUGAUGCAGCGACGCCGCGUGGGUGAAGGAGUGCUUCGGCAUGUAAAGCCCUAUCGGCAGGGAAGAAGCAAGACGGUACCUGACUAAGAAGCCCCGGCUAACUACGUGCCAGCAGCCGCGGUAAUACGUAGGGGGCGAGUGUUAUCCGGAUUCACUGGGUGUAAAGGGAGCGUAGGCGGGGAUGCAAGUUGGGUGUCAAAACUACCGGCUCAACUGGUAGUCGCACUCAAAACUGCAGCUCUUGAGUGAAGUAGAGGCAGGCGGAAUUCCUAGUGUAGCGGUGAAAUGCGUAGAUAUUAGGAGGAACACCAGUGGCGAAGGCGGCCUGCUGGGCUUUUACUGACGCUGAGGCUCGAAAGUGUGGGGAGCAAACAGGAUUAGAUACCCGCGUA